GACGAACGCUGGCGGCGUGCUUAACACAUGCAAGUCGAACGGAAAGGCCUCUUUCGGGGGGUACUCGCGUUGCGAACGGGUGAGUAACACGUGAGUAACCUGCCCUUGACUUUGGGAUAACUUCCGGAAACUGGGGCUAAUACCGGCCAGGAGCUCCUGCUGCCUGGUGGGGGCUGGAAAGUUUCGGCGGUUGGGGGUGGGUUCGCGGCUUAUCAGCUUGUUGGUGGGGUAGUGGCUUACCAAGGCCUUGCCGGGUAGCCGGACUGGGGGGGUGACAGGCCGCAUUGGGUCCGAGGUGCGGCCCCGGCUCCGACGGGUGGGAGAUGGGGGGAAGCUUGAAGGAGGGGUGGCGGCCGGGUGCAGCAGGGCCGUGGGCGGGAUGACGGUCUUCGGGUUGUAGACCGCUUUCGCUCGUGACGAAGCUUUGUGUGACGGUAGUGGGUAAAGAAGCACCGGCUAACUACGUG
Molecule: ribosomal RNA, 467 nt
Filed under: uncultured bacterium
Lineage: Bacteria
Description: partial 16S ribosomal RNA
Rfam family: Bacterial small subunit ribosomal RNA
Source: RNAcentral